GACGCUCACGCGGGGGGGCUGGGCUGGGGUGGUCAGCGGAGGGAGGGAACCAGAGGGGCGUCCGGGCUGUUC
RNAcentral lists this microRNA precursor (72 nucleotides) under Choloepus hoffmanni (Hoffmann's two-fingered sloth). Its description in RNAcentral is "miRNA (ENSCHOG00000014424.1)". The record is from RNAcentral. Lineage: Eukaryota; Metazoa; Chordata; Mammalia; Pilosa; Megalonychidae.